This 987-nucleotide ribosomal RNA is filed under the name Plasmodium knowlesi. RNAcentral describes it as "SSU rRNA". It matches the Rfam family "Eukaryotic small subunit ribosomal RNA", at positions 638 to 1428 of the family's 1831-position model. The record is from RNAcentral. Lineage: Eukaryota; Apicomplexa; Aconoidasida; Haemosporida; Plasmodiidae.
ACAUAACUGAUGCCUCCGCGUAUCGACUUUGUGCGCAUUUUAGCUAUUAUGUGUUCUUUUAAUUAAAAUGAUUCUUUUUAAGAUUCAUCUAUUAAAAAUUUGCUUCGGCAUAAUUUUUUUUGAUGAUCUUGUUACUUUGAGUAAAUUAGAGUGUUCAAAGCAAACAGAUAUAGCAUUUGUGCGUUUGAAUACUACAGCAUGGAAUAACAAAAUUGAACAAGUCAGAAUUUUUUUGUUCUUUUUUCUUAUUUUGGCUUAGUUACGAUUAAUAGGAGUAGCUUGGGGGCAUUUGUAUUCAGAUGUCAGAGGUGAAAUUCUUAGAUUUUCUGGGGACAAACAACUGCGAAAGCAUUUGCCUAAAAUAUUUCCAUUAAUCAAGAACGAAAGUUAAGGGAGUGAAGACGAUCAGAUACCGUCGUAAUCUUAACCAUAAACUAUGCCGACUAGGCUUUGGAUGAAAGAUUUAAAAAUAGGAGUUUUUCUUUUCUCUCCGGAGAUUAGAACUCUUAGAUUGCUUCCUUCAGUGCCUUAUGAGAAAUCAAAGUCUUUGGGUUCUGGGGCGAGUAUUCGCGCAAGCGAGAAAGUUAAAAGAAUUGACGGAAGGGCACCACCAGGCGUGGAGCUUGCGGCUUAAUUUGACUCAACACGGGAAAACUCACUAGUUUAAGACGAGAGUAGGAUUGACAGAUUAAUGGCUCUUUCUUGAUUUCUUGGAUGGUGAUGCAUGGCCGUUUUUAGUUCGUGAAUAUGAUUUGUCUGGUUAAUUCCGAUAACGAACGAGAUCUUAACCUGCUAAUUAGCGGCAAAUACGAUAUAUUCUUAUGUAGAAUUGAAUAUAGUGGAUUUGUUAGAUUUUGAAGAAAAUAUUGGAAUUACGUUAAAUGUGAUUCCUUUCCCUUUUCUACUUAAUUUACAUUUCCAUCUAUUUCUUUUUUGCGUAUGAAUGUAUUUGCUUGAUUGUAAAGCUUCUUAGAGGAACGAUGUGUG